Molecule: transfer RNA, 72 nt
Filed under: Dictyocaulus viviparus (bovine lungworm)
Lineage: Eukaryota; Metazoa; Nematoda; Chromadorea; Rhabditida; Metastrongylidae
Rfam family: tRNA
About the family: Transfer RNA (tRNA) molecules are approximately 80 nucleotides in length. Their secondary structure includes four short double-helical elements and three loops (D, anti-codon, and T loops).
Source: Rfam by way of RNAcentral
GCCUCGGUGGUGUACUGGAAAGCACGGCAGACCGGAUAUCUGUAAGUGCGGGUACGAGUCCCGCCUGAGGUU